UGAUGGUGACAACGAAUUCAGGUUCGAUAAUGAAUCCACCGUCCACGGGAUGACGAGUACAAACGUAAUACACGAUUCGGGUAACUUUCUUGAUAACUCAAUCAGCAAUUCGUCCAACGACUAACUAACUAACCAACCCCUAAUCCAAAAGAAACUGCCCUUAUAUACUCCUGUCCCCACUUCUCGGGUCAAUCUUUGUUUUUAAGGAGAACCAUAUAAUCAUUUCAUAUCUGUGUCAGGUACACGUCCCUCCCGUGACCGUGGCUACGUCUAGUGACCCGCUAUGUCACUUCGAGCCCGAACCCAUCGUCAUAAAGCCAGGUUGGAACAUUAGAACUAUUUCUUAUUUUUAUUACUUAAGUGCAGCUAUAGUAAAAGUCCGGACCAGGGUAUUGGGUUUUUCUCAACAUUCCGGACGGGAAAUUCCGAUGUUCUUUCAUCUCCGACAUAUAUGUAUAUGUAUAUGCGUGCGAAUACAUGUAAUAAUUUUUUAUUCUUUAAUUUAUAAAAAUACAGUUUACUUCGCCAGGAAAAAAAAUAAAUUAAAUUCUGGAACUAUUAGAUAUAGAUUUAGUUUUCUGUAAUAAUUUGCAACUAUACUUGUAUUAAAUUUUUGAAGGUAGAAGUUCACACUGUUAUUUGAUCUAAUUUUCAAUAAUGGAUUUUGUUUCAAUUUCGGGUUUCAGAUUUUUAAAACACAUUACAUUUCGUUACGUAAUAUAGUACGAAUAAAGAAUGCUGAUGCCUUCAUGAUGAUGAUACUAUAUGCAUUAAGCAGUUUCACUUAAUGCCGAUGUCAGUACUUUAUGAUUGCAUGCAGGAUAAGGUAGUUGCUUUCAAGUUUGGGUGCAAGAGGCAACCUAUUUUUUCCAGAGAAGUCUUUACAGUGUUCGGAGAUAUUUUUCCGCGAUGAAAUUACGUGUUCCUUGGAAAUAUCCAAGACGAAUGAAGCAUAUGAAAAGUAUACCCAUUGACAAUGGUAGGCGUUAUCCACUUUGCGAUAUGCGCGCAAACAUUUAAACGCAAAAAAUGAGUGUUUAUAGAAUGAACUAAUCCUUUAAGUAUCUUAUGUACGAUAAUGCUAAACCUCGCUGUAUAACUCGAGAUGAGGUCUCGAUCAGAUAAUAUGUAAUUUGUAAAAUUUUAUUUAUUUUGUUACCAAACUUGUGACUUGUGAAAUUUUACUUACUAAUGAUAUUUUAUACGAGUUGGUUGGUAACUGGUGGUACAAGCGGAAAGGGGGUGAUUCUACGCGAAAAAAGAAGUCGAAAAUAUAGAAUAAAAAAUGAAAAAAAAUUUUUUUUUAAUUUUUCCAUCGAGACAACGAUCUACAGUGAGAUCCGUUAUAACGAGACGCGAUAAAGUGCACGCGUACCGAGCGAAAAUUCAAAGUCGAUUUUCUGGAAAACAGAGCCUCAAACGAAAAAUUUUUAUUCUAUAUUUUCUAUUCUAUAUAUUCUAUAUUUUCUAUUAUUCUAUAUUUUAUUAUCUUAUCAGCUGUAAAACACGUGUUCGUUGUAGCAACACUGAAGACCAGAGUUUUCUUAUACCAGAGUAUAAGGACAACUUGAUGAACAUAAUGCGUCAACAACUAGUAAAUACUCGGCGGGUUCGCUAGCUACGCUCGUAAAGGGCGUAUGGGGUAGUAAGAUGUCGCGAGUUCGAGACCACUCCUGGGCAAGCCAAGGUGGAAAACCAAAUAUCAUCUUAGAAGUAUAUACAACGGGCAAGUGAGGCCCCCCCCCUUGCCUACAAUGUUGUAGUGCUUUCUAUGAGUGUUUGGGAAGUACCCCCGGAGAACGGUUUCACUCGUUGCUGAACUACACCUAGGCCCGCCCGUGGGGUUUUAGCCGAUAAAAAUCCGCCGGAUUUCCCCACGUAAAAAAAGGGUUUUUUUUUCUUUUUUUUUUAAUUUUUCCAUCGAGACAACGAUCUACAGUGAGAUCCGUUAUAACGUACCGCAGACGUACCGAGCGAAAAUUCAAAGUCGAUUUUCUCGAAAACAAAGCCUCAAACGAAAAAUUUUCAUUCUAUAUUUUCGACUUCUUUUUUCGCGUAGAAUCACCUCUUUCCCGCUUGUACCACCAGUUACCAACCACCCUGUAUAGUUCAUGCGAGAUGCGUAUUGCGGUCUCCCUACCGACCGUUGGGUUUCGUUUGUCCAUCGUGCCCUUCCGGCUGGUCCUUUCCCGGGGUUUUUACCUGACCUCGAAGUCAUUAGAUUUACAGCUCGGGGAGGACAUGCAAUUCGGAAUUUCCUAAAGAAAGGAAUGGGCCUGUCCCUGCCAUAAACGGACGACCCAAAAUUCUGAACAAUGCGCUCAACUGUAUUUACUUACAUUUGGUACUGCCUCAGCUGACAGAUACAGUAAUACUACUGACUGAUAUUUUUACUAUGCAAUAAAAAUUUACAUUUGGAGCAUUUAUUGCUCUAUGUACUGAGGUGAAAGAAGUUUUUUUUAACUCUUAUAUAUUAUUUGAUUAUUAUGUAAUUUAUUUCUCUACAUUUUUCAAUCAAGGAUUUUAUCAUUUCUUCUAUUCACAUAUAAUUUUGACCAUAUAUCUCGAAAACAUAGAAAAUUUGUAUACAAAAUAAUUAAUUUUUUUGAGAAAUACAUAAUUUUCUUCUGUACUUAUAUUUUACUUUUGAAGUUUCUACUAGAAAUUUUAAAUUUUAAUAAAUGUCCUUGCUACUUGAUAUGUACUAUGUAAACGUCUAGUUAAGUCUGGGAUCGAAGUAGCUUCAGUCUCUCUACGUCCGCUUGAUCGAUGCAUCAUGAUUUAUGCAACCUGAUUCAUUCCUAAAUACACACGAUAAUUUGUAUCAGAGACUGCAUCUUGCUAGAAAUGCAGCAAGGCAGUUUCACAGUAUAUAAGAUACUUCAGCGAUAGAUUAGAAAUUGUAAUUACGUCACACACAAACGCACACACACGAACCUUGAAUCAUAAUACUUUUCUUUUGAACUCAUUAUCAUAUUUAUUGUGUUUCUUAUUGUAUAAUAAUAUGUUUACAUAUAUACAUAUAUGUUUACAUACGUACAUGAUAUAAUAAUUAAAUAAUAAGAAAUACAAUCGUUUGACAAAAUAAUAGCGUUUGUUAUUUUUGUUCUUUAAUGUUUUGGCGAUUUUUAUUAUAAAACGAUUAAGUAGGAACAAAAAUACGAACAAAGGGGAGAUGUUUUUAGAUCAGUUAGUAAAAUUGUUACUUCCGCUUGAGUUUCAUUCGGCACAAUUAUGUAUACCAGGGCACACUUCUACUGCGUGAUCCUGAUUAGAGAAGUUGAGCUGUCAGAAUACAUGCACGAUCGUUUAAAGUAUUCAUCAUAACGAUUUUUGUCGUCUUAUUAUCAUAUAAUGUAUCCAUUUGUAUUUUACUUUCGAUAUUGAUAAUAAGAAAGUAAUCAGGUUUCUGAUUUAAAAAAAUUAUCGGUUUUGAAAACUAUAAACGUACGAAAGAGUAAAUGUAGAAUGUAGAAUAUUAGAUCCAUUAUUUAUAUACACGCAGUAUAGCUCAUAAAUUUAACAUAAAUAAAAUCAAUAUUUUCGGAUCUUUUUACGUAAGCAUACAUUAUUGUUACAUUUUUAAUUGAACUUACACCAAACUGUUAGAAAAAAUCAUUUUAAAUUGCACAUUCCUUUACCGACCGAGUUGGCGGAAUUCCUUGAUCUGUUCGUUGAUACGUACAGAUGGCAGUACAGCAUCGUCCUGUAAUUCAUACUAAAAUUUUAAGUAAUAUCGAUGUACAUACGUAUUACACAUUAAAAUUUGUUAGCAUUAUCAUUUUCUCUUACUAUUUUUACAUGUAUUGCUUGUACUAUUUAAUAUAUCCAUUUACUACGCUAGACAUACUUAACAUUGAACUUUAAAAUACAUUUAUAAACGUGUUAAACAUGUUUGUUUCAUACCGCUCUUGUCACAAGAUGGUUUUAUGCAAAAAAAAAUCAACUAUAAAAGUAGCCUUACGUUCCCAUCAGAGCUAAACAAUACUAGAUCAAACGAUAACUGAAACUGGUUUUAAAGUAUGCAUAUUUACAAUUACAUAAAUAUACUAUGAAUAAUUAAACUGAACUCGUAAAAAUUGGUAUUUUUGUAUACUAUUGUACUGUAUUCAACAUUUGGAUAUUUUUAAGGCAGAUGAUUUAUGGUAGGGUGAUGGGGGUUUCCUGUUUUGUGCUCACCACGUAUAUUGGAUGAGCCACGGUCGAGUCCCCGCUCUUGACCACGGUGUCUUUCUUGGUAGUUGGACAUCUCAAGGGACACAAGCUGGGUCGUUUCAGGGUUAGGACACAAUAACGUGUAACGUAGUGACACUCAGGGUAGUAAGGGAGAAGGAGAAUGCUUAUGGGCGGUUGAACGUGCCUCGGGACAGAAACGGCGAAGGGGCUGAGAGAAGAGAGAAAUUGAAUGUAAGACAGAAAGCGAUACGAAGGGUAAAAGAGUGGAUUUAACGGAUACGCAAGGGGCGGUAGGUCGUUGCCCGGCUGAGAGAAGGGGGAAAGCCGGCUUGUAACCUCCUACCGAACGCCUACGUAGAGAGGCAGAGUACUACUGCUCUCACACCACAAGAUUUCCAUGCUACCUUUCCAAGGUCAACGGCUUGAGGGCUCAAAGACCCCUGGAAACUGACUUCUAUGGCCCGCGAGAAUCUUUAGUAUCUACUUUUCUCCUGUAUCUUGGUCCUCGUCUUUUCUAUGGAAUCUCUAUAAUGCACGCACAUUUUUGGUCAACAUCCUACACCAAAGGUUUUAUAUUUCUCUGAAAUACGUUCGAGUAAAUGUGUUCUUGAAAAUAUUACAAGCUAACAGUAUCUGAAUUGUUAUGUUUUCCUUUUCAGUAAUAUCUUUCAUAUAAAUAGUUUUAAGAUUACUUAAUCUUGUAUAUCGAAUGAAUCACGAAAAUUUAGUUUUCGCUUAAGAGGCGUAAUUAUCACUGAAUCAUUGUGUACUUAGGAAAAGUUUGUGAUCGUGCCUGGUUUCCUUGAAAUCUUUUGGCAAACAUGAGUCAGUGGCUAUGUUUUCACCAGAGGAUUUUGAACUACUACGUCUCGUCUGGGUGAAAUGUUUGAACCGAGUCAACCAAAGGUUGCUGGAGGUUACGACCUAACUCCUUUUUUCUCCCCCUUUCCCUGCCCUCCCCAUAAAACAUUUUGUACGUCUUCGACGCACAGUUUACCUUUCAUCCCCCGAAAUCCUUCGCUCUUUUUUUGUUUAAGCGACCAGACGGUUUUCUUCUUGUCUGUUUGGACUCCAUUCGCUAUUAUAUACGCAAUAUGUGUCUUGUACAUUAUGUAUAUACACAUGUACAUCACAAAACAAAGACGAGAUGUAUGUGUGCAGAGGUAUUAAUUCUUUCGCUCGAUGCUUUAUAUUCAAGGGACAUAGAUCUCUGCAUUUUUACGAUUUCAAGGUUAAAAGCUGAAUGAUUGUUUCUUAUCACUAUUGCGACGUUUUGUACACAAAGAUCUUCUGCCGUUAUGGAAAUAUAUUUUUGAAAUUAUCCCUUAAAUGUACAUAUAUGCAUUCAACUGAAAAAUCAAUAUUUUUUGUUUUUUGUCGUAUUGAAAAUUAGGUUAUAGUUCUGAAUAAUAGAUUUAAUUUUUUAAGUAAAGUUACAAAAAUAGGAUUUUGCAAAAUUAUUAAUGUAAUUAUAUUCUUGAUAAUAAUAAUCAAUAAUUUAUAUCUUUUACUGCCGUUAAUAAGACAUUUUACAAUGGAAAAUGUUUCCUGUUAAUCGCAAAAAUGAUUCCUGAUUCCACAUAUAUGAGAUUUUUUAAAUUACACCAUUUACGUAUAUGCGCAAAUGGCACUGAAAGCUUUGCUCAGAACCUUAAACUUCACUUGCCAAGUACGUCAACUCAGUAUCAAGAUUAAAAUAUUUCAAAGAUAUUUAUCAAGACCUAGGUAAUCUAAGGAUAAGAAUCGUAAAUCAAAUUUGAAUUUAAUAUACCAGUACAAGAGAAUCAUUCUCUCCAUUCUAUGAUGUCAUUGUUAAUAAAUGAACUUUGACGUUAUAUCUCUAAAUCAUUUUUUCGUAACAUUUGUUCAUAAGAUGUAGGUCACGCAAUCCCCUUCUUGCACCUAUCCUAGACAAGAGAAUCUAGGUUGUGGGCAGUACCGGGGUGCAUAUACGUAUCGAUCGUUGAACGGCGUUGCUGCAGCCUGGCCUGGUGCACCGGCGAAACUGGGUUACCUACCUAACCUAUACACAUCAUUCGCGGAUCUUGUUCCUUGUUUGAACGAAGCCGAGCACGCCUCUUGUGUUUCCUCUUUUCUCUGUAUUCACACGUUCGUGCAUUUUCGCCCACACAUGGGAUACACUCGUGCAUCUUCGUGACUGCUCGUACUUCUCUUACUUCCUCUGUUUGCUCCAUCGCAUCAUCUUGAUUGUCAUUAAGAAAUAUACUACACUCCUUCCAUCCCUUUUCUUGCGACAAUAAUAGAGGAACGUUCACUGUUGGUAGCAGUGUAUGCAUAUAUCCUAUGAUUACAUACAUGUUUUGAUUCAUGAAAUCAUUGUUUAUUGUCGCGUAGGGAGAAGUUUGAAUUGCAAAUGAUUGAGCAUUUCAGCUGCUUUGUCGUAUUUAUCGAUUAAACAGUGAAAACUAAUUCAUAUGAUUAUUAAAAAUUAUUUCUUAAAAGCAUAUUUAGAUAACGAUUAAUUAUGACACAGAGGAUACUAAAUAAUCAACACAUUGGUUUAACUGGCUUAUGGCUUUCGUCUUUUUAUAUUGAAAUUUCACUUUCGCUUUAACAAAUGAAAAGAUUUUUGAUUUAAGAAAGAUUUGUAUGAAACUAAUAUGAGAAAUUAUGUGUAUGGAUAACGGUACAUAUUUUCCUCAAACAUGAAAAGUUAUUUAAUGGUAGAAGAGCAUGAUUGAAUCGAAAAUGACCCAAACGAUAUAGUAGGAUGGAAAGAAGUAUAUGCGAUAUUGAAACAUUUAUCGCACUUUUAAGUAUGUUUGUACGUAUGACUUUGACGUAAAUUCUGGGAUGCAUAAUACAGAGUCAUAAUACAUAUUUGUUUGGAACGUGCGGUGCAGAAAGAUAAAGGAUGUCAAUCCACGUUUGCAGCUCUUGUUUCAAAUAUGUUCUAUUUUUUCCGUAGUAUAACUGGAUAGACUUACAAUUAAUAAAUAUAUUACUUAUUAUCUCCCGUAGAAAUAUUUUGUGAGAUUUUUGUAAGAAAUCUUAUGAUUAAUUGUAUUAUUUGUAAAAAUGUCGAUAUUACGCCAUUGAACUUUCAUUCAUACAAAAUAUAUUGGCAUUAAAUUAAGAAUUUAAUAACUAAGUCCUUUAACAUAAUUGUAGAAAUCUGAAUAUUUCCACUAUAAAAAUGAUUGCCAAGCUUAUAUCGUUUAUAUAAAUCAUAGAUCGUUUUUAUUACAUUAUAAAUAAAUAAUUUUAUUUGAGAAAUAUAAAUUCGCCAAUAUUAUUAAUGAAAGAAAUUAAUCAUUCAGAAUUUACGAGAAAGUAAUUUCUAUUGUAUUUAUGUGAAUUUUUAUUAUUUUAAAGAUUUUAAAGAAAUUUUACUGCUGAAAAGAUAAAAUUUUUGGAAAUUCUGAAAUAUUGUUAUUAACAUUUGAAGAAUAUUUAUUCUAUGUCCAAGCACAUUUGAUUCUCACCGUAAUACAAAGUAUAAACAGACGGGUGUGACAUCGUGGCGAAGUUAAGGUGAAUUGACUAUAUGCGCGCAUGCACAAGGCUGCACGUCAUCUUACCCUCAAGUGUCGUGGGGCUGCGCCUACUGCAUUCAUGCGAGUUGAAGGGUCUGCCGUGUCGACGUCCAUUACGCAUGCGCAGGGCUUUGCACUCUGUCCACUGGUCUGCGCACGCGGCUGUACCUUCGACUCGGUGUGGGUUUGGCGUUUGACUACUUUUCAGGGCCGUAUUACAACACGUGUAUUUAACAGUUAUGAAAUUUGAAUUCUUCACUUCGCUACUCAUAUAAAAUGACAGACCUAACUAUACUAAGUAAUGUUAUUUAAAAAAUAUCUUUCCAACGUGAUCAAAAUCUGAUAUAUUUAUAUACUUUUGUAUAUUUGAAAGUAAAAACUUAUUUGAAGAGAUUGUA
Bombus huntii is the source of this 8071-nucleotide long non-coding RNA. RefSeq lists it as uncharacterized. The record is from RefSeq and is a predicted model, not a curated record. The transcript is spliced from 2 exons. NCBI's taxonomy places the organism in Eukaryota, Metazoa, Arthropoda, Insecta, Hymenoptera, Apidae.